Molecule: ribosomal RNA, 107 nt
Filed under: Acanthosepion pharaonis
Lineage: Eukaryota; Metazoa; Mollusca; Cephalopoda; Sepiida; Sepiidae
Source: RNAcentral
UACAGUCAUAUCACAUUAAAACACCGGUUCUUGUACGAUCAACGAAGCUAAGCAACGUGGAACCUGGUCAGUACCUAGAUGGGUGAUCGUUUGGGAAUACUAGAGGC